GACAGAGGGUGCAAACGUUGCUCGGAAUUACUGGGCGUAAAGGGCUCGUAGGCGGCCAACUAAGUCAGACGUGAAAUCCCUCAGCUUAACUGGGGAACUGCGUCUGAUACUGGAUGGCUUGGAUUCGGGAGAGGAAUGCGGAAUUCCAGGUGUAGCGGUGAAAUGCGUAGAUAUCUGGAGGAACACCGGUGGCGAAGGCGGCAUUCUGGACCGAUAUUGACGCUGAGGAGCGAAAGCCAGGGGAGCAAACGGG
Molecule: ribosomal RNA, 253 nt
Filed under: uncultured bacterium
Lineage: Bacteria
Description: partial 16S ribosomal RNA
Rfam family: Bacterial small subunit ribosomal RNA
Source: RNAcentral